AUUGAACGCUGGCGGCAGGCCUAACACAUGCAAGUCGAGCGGAUGAAGGGAGCUUGCUCCUGGAUUCAGCGGCGGACGGGUGAGUAAUGCCUAGGAAUCUGCCUGGUAGUGGGGGAUAACGUCCGGAAACGGGCGCUAAUACCGCAUACGUCCUGAGGGAGAAAGUGGGGGAUCUUCGGACCUCACGCUAUCAGAUGAGCCUAGGUCGGAUUAGCUAGUUGGUGGGGUAAAGGCCUACCAAGGCGACGAUCCGUAACUGGUCUGAGAGGAUGAUCAGUCACACUGGAGCUGAGACACGGUCCAGACUCCUACGGGAGGCAGCAGUGGGGAAUAUUGGACAAUGGGCGAAAGCCUGAUCCAGCCAUGCCGCGUGUGUGAAGAAGGUCUUCGGAUCGUAAAGCACUUUAAGUUGGGAGGAAGGGCAGUAAGUUAAUACCUUGCUGUUUUGACGUUACCAACAGAAUAAGCACCGGCUAACUUCGUG
This 484-nucleotide ribosomal RNA is filed under the name uncultured bacterium. RNAcentral describes it as "partial 16S ribosomal RNA". It matches the Rfam family "Bacterial small subunit ribosomal RNA", at positions 30 to 507 of the family's 1533-position model. The record is from RNAcentral.